GACGAACGCUGGCGGCGUGCUUAACACAUGCAAGUCGAACGGAAAGGCCCUGCUUUUGUGGGGUGCUCGAGUGGCGAACGGGUGAGUAACACGUGAGUAACCUGCCCUUGACUUUGGGAUAACUUCAGGAAACUGGGGCUAAUACCGGAUAGGAGCUCCUGCUGCAUGGUGGGGGUUGGAAAGUUUCGGCGGUUGGGGCUGGACUCGCGGCUUAUCCGCUUGUUGGUGGGGUAGUGGCUUACCAAGGCUUUGACGGGUAGCCGGCCUGAGAGGGUGACCGGCCACAUUGGGACUGAGAGACGGCCCAGACUCCUACGGGAGGCAGCAGUGGGGAAUAUUGCACAGUGGGCGGAAGCCUGAUGCAGCAACGCCGCGUGCGGGAUGACGGCCUUCGGGUUGUAAACCGCUUUCGCCUGUGACGAAGCGUGAGUGACGGUAAUGGGUAAAGAAGCACCGGCUAACUACGUG
Molecule: ribosomal RNA, 468 nt
Filed under: uncultured bacterium
Lineage: Bacteria
Description: partial 16S ribosomal RNA
Rfam family: Bacterial small subunit ribosomal RNA
Source: RNAcentral